AGAGAUACGGCGACAACUAUACGACCCACCAUGUUCUAUUUCCAGAGAGACCACAAAAAUUGCUUGAGUGGAUGUGCACAAUAUCAGCUGAUCAACUCGGAUUCCUGGGCACUAUCAGCCAUGAAACAUUGGAAAACAAAACAAAAACAAAAGGCAGCCAUGAAACGAAAUAGUUGAUGGGAAGGAAGAUUCAUGGCGUGCCAAAUGCCAGACUAAUUAUUCUCUAUGAUCAAAGACAAGAAAUAAUGAACUGAGAUCAACUCGGAUCGGAGACGGUAUAUACUUCCGUUCAGCAAGUGAAAUCGAUCAUCAAAUACUAUCAGUGCUUGAAGUCUAUCUUCUCCUGCCAUGACUGAUCUAUUAAGUGACGAGCUGAAAAUGUAAAGAAAGGGUGUCCUUUCAAGAAAAAAUAAACACGUGCUAAUUAAAAACAGUCGGGCUCAGGAGGAAUGGAAUGGGAGACCUGACAUUGCUGAAAGCUACCGAGACAUGCCGCACCAGCCACAAUAUUGCCUCGUGAUCUGAGCAGACAAUGUAUAUACUCACUGUUUCUUGCCACUCGUAACAGUGAGAUAUAAGCCCACUCCUUGUAGUGUUGCACUUUCAUCAUGGUCUAACGUGACAGAAGAUUGAGCCAAUUUGCAGGUCUGUGAUCGCGCUCUCAUGGAAAGUUAUCAGCCGUUCAAUAAAUUUCAGUCAAAUUCGUAUUGGGCAGAAAGUUAUCAACAACAUUGAGGUGUAAAUACAUACCAUAUCAGUGCAUGAUGUUUACUUUUAAUUGUUAAUCAUUCAAGAUGAUCAUGCUAAAUCUUUUGUUCAUGAGAUUUGGGUUAAAUCUAUACCAAGCAUGUAUUAUGCCUCUGCAUAAAAUCUUUUCCGAGAUGAGUACUAUCUUAACUCGAUAAA
Molecule: long non-coding RNA, 906 nt
Organism: Populus trichocarpa (black cottonwood)
Lineage: Eukaryota; Viridiplantae; Streptophyta; Magnoliopsida; Malpighiales; Salicaceae
Exons: 2
Source: RefSeq, a predicted model, not a curated record